This 400-nucleotide ribosomal RNA is filed under the name uncultured bacterium. RNAcentral describes it as "bacterial SSU rRNA". It matches the Rfam family "Bacterial small subunit ribosomal RNA", at positions 355 to 746 of the family's 1533-position model. The record is from RNAcentral.
UAGGGAAUAUUGCGCAAUGGAGGAAACUCUGACGCAGCGACGCCGCGUGGGUGACGAAGGCUUUCGGGUCGUAAAACCCUGUCGGAAGGGACGAAUUGCCAUCUGACUAAUAAGCAGAUGGAGUGACGGUACCUUUAGAGGAAGCACCGGCUAACUACGUGCCAGCAGCCGCGGUAAUACGUAGGGUGCAAGCGUUGUUCGGAAUUAUUGGGCGUAAAGCGCGUGUAGGUUGCUAAGUAAGUCGAUUGUAAAAGCCCUAGGCUCAACCAAGGAAGUGCAUUCGAAACUACUUAGCUAGAGGAUGGCAGAGGAAGGUGGAAUUCCAAGUGUAGAGGUGAAAUUCGUAGAUAUUUGGAGGAAUACCGGCGGCGAAGGCGGCCUUCUGGACCAUUCCUGACAC